GAAAUCCUUAAAAUCCUUAAAAUAAUGGUUAUUUUGUGUGGUCCUUGUCUGCUUCAGUAAGAAACUUGCUUCCAUAGUAAUUCAAAUAACUGUAAAUAUGCACAUCCCUCACAGCAUUGACAGGGAAAAUUUCAGUUGAUUUUCUGCCUUGAAAUUAACCUUUUACUAUCGCAUGCGUAUGUUUGUCAUUUAUCCCCUUUUUCUCAGGUGCAAAGAGGGCUACCAAGGAGUCCGCUGUGACCAAUUUUUGCCGAAAACCGACUCAAUCUUGUCAGAUCCAAGGCUCCCAGAGCGUCUCACCAGGGGUGACGCAGGCAGUGUCACGUACAUUUCCAACACAUGGGUAAGUAAACAUUAUCAUUAUGUUCCUACAAAUGAACUGAAAAUCUGCUUGUACUAUCUUGUGUCAAUUGAAAGCAGUCUGGCUGUUGCAAAUGUUUGUGUUGUUCAGCGAGUUUGCAACAAAUAGAGGAGAUUUAAAGAAGAAGCUUUUAAUGAAUGGUAAAACAAUGUGAUUUGUUGUGGUUAUGUGAGGGAUAUCUACAGAUUGGUAUCUGUUUUCUUUAUUUCGGAGCUGAAUGUUAGCAUUAUUUUUUGUUGUUAUUUUGUCUGAUGGAAAUAUUGAAGGUGAAGCCAUGUGUCUCUGGGAGCUAAUAAGGCUGGUAGGGUUCCUUUGGUGUGAUGCUGGCUUGGGGAGACCAACCUUGUACGUGCAUGUCCCAGCUGCAGAGCAAAAUCACUGCUCUAACUCCCAGAUAAAAGACAUGCAGAAGCCAGAAGGUGAUCUUUAGAAACAAAUAUUGUGGACUGAGUCGGUCGGCACCCAAGACAAGGAGUCAUCAGUUCGACUUGUUUCUUACAGCAGGAAUGAGUUGAGUAAGGAUGUACCAAGGGAUGAAGUGUGAAAGUGAGUUUUAGAAUAACCUGCUGUGAUAUGAACGAACAUGACCACUGUAGCUGAAAUGGUAUCUGCUGUAUCUGAAACUACUGCAGCAGUUCAUCUUAUCUGCCAGAAGCUUUGUCUUUUGUUCUGUAACAGUAAUGUGCAAUAGAUACAGAUAAAAAAAUAAAAUACAAAACAACCUGAGACAAGUAUAUCUGGUAGGCUGCUACAAUGUUGAUG
RNAcentral lists this long non-coding RNA (1123 nucleotides) under Pavo cristatus (Indian peafowl). Its description in RNAcentral is "lncRNA (ENSPSTG00000018106.1)". Lineage: Eukaryota; Metazoa; Chordata; Aves; Galliformes; Phasianidae. The record is from RNAcentral.